ACCAGCAUAGUUUUAAGUGGGAAAACGGCGGUCUCCAAAACCGUAGUUCUAAGUUCGAACCUUAGUGCUGGUG
This 73-nucleotide transfer RNA is filed under the name Caudoviricetes sp. Its description in RNAcentral is "tRNA-Trp". It matches the Rfam family "tRNA". Rfam says of the family: Transfer RNA (tRNA) molecules are approximately 80 nucleotides in length. Their secondary structure includes four short double-helical elements and three loops (D, anti-codon, and T loops). Further hydrogen bonds mediate the characteristic L-shaped molecular structure. tRNAs have two regions of fundamental functional importance: the anti-codon, which is responsible for specific mRNA codon recognition, and the 3' end, to which the tRNAs corresponding amino acid is attached (by aminoacyl-tRNA synthetases). tRNAs cope with the degeneracy of the genetic code in two manners: having more than one tRNA (with a specific anti-codon) for a particular amino acid; and 'wobble' base-pairing, i.e. permitting non-standard base-pairing at the 3rd anti-codon position. The record is from RNAcentral. Lineage: Duplodnaviria; Heunggongvirae; Uroviricota; Caudoviricetes.